Molecule: ribosomal RNA, 253 nt
Filed under: uncultured bacterium
Lineage: Bacteria
Description: partial 16S ribosomal RNA
Rfam family: Bacterial small subunit ribosomal RNA
Source: RNAcentral
UACAGAGGUCUCAAGCGUUGUUCGGAAUCACUGGGCGUAAAGCGUGCGUAGGCUGUUUCGUAAGUCGUGUGUGAAAGGCGCGGGCUCAACCCGCGGACGGCACAUGAUACUGCGAGACUAGAGUAAUGGAGGGGGAACCGGAAUUCUCGGUGUAGCAGUGAAAUGCAUAGAUAUCACGCAGAACCCCGAUUGCGAAGGCAGCUUACAAAUCUAUAUCGGACGCUGAGGCACGAAAGCGUGGGGAGCAAACAGG